GCGGAGGUUGCCAAGCCUGGUCAAAGGCGUAGGGUUCAGAACUCGGCGUCCGAAUCGCGAGUUCAAAUCUCGCCCUCCGCACCA
This 84-nucleotide transfer RNA is filed under the name Candidatus Thorarchaeota archaeon. Its description in RNAcentral is "tRNA-Leu". It matches the Rfam family "tRNA". From Rfam's summary of the family: Transfer RNA (tRNA) molecules are approximately 80 nucleotides in length. Their secondary structure includes four short double-helical elements and three loops (D, anti-codon, and T loops). The record is from RNAcentral. Lineage: Archaea; Promethearchaeati; Candidatus Thorarchaeota.